This 1324-nucleotide long non-coding RNA is filed under the name Homo sapiens (human). RNAcentral describes it as "HSALNT0049658". The record is from RNAcentral. Lineage: Eukaryota; Metazoa; Chordata; Mammalia; Primates; Hominidae.
CAUGGCGCAGGUGCAGAGCAAGGUGGUGCGGCAGAGGCAUAUUGCAGGCCUGGCCGUCGGCUCAGAGCAGGAGGAGGUCACAGAGCAGCCCUUGCUGCCUGUGGUAAGCAACUGAGGAGGUCACAGAGCAGCCCUUGCUGCCCGUGGUAAGCAACUGAGGAGGUCACAGAGCAGCCCUUGCUGCCUGUGGUAAGCAACUGAGGAGGUCACAGAGCAGCCCUUGCUGCCCGUGGUAAGCGACUGGUGCCAGGUCACCCAGUGGCAGUGGCAGUGCCUGGCUAGUGUCUGGGCCUCCUGAGCUCCACAGAAGCCUGAUGCAGAGAGACCCCUGAUCCUCAACCAACUCCCACUGCCCAGUCUCUGAUUUGCUCAGAAACUUGCAGAGUCAGCAGCUAUCAGCCACCAAGUUGUAAUUAACUCUUCCUGGAGUCAUGAAAAACUGCCGUUUCCUUGUUGGCUUUUAGGUCCAGUGUAAACAGCCCUUCCAGAGCCUUAGUCCAAGUCUUGGAAACCCUAGAGAGAAGCAAUGGGGACCCUCGGGGAGCAGAGGGUUCCUUCGUGAUGAUCCUCCACUGCCUCAGGUUAUCAAACAAAUCCCCAUCCAGGUUAUUUUCAUCUGCCGGCUCCUGUAGCCUGGGUAGUGAGACCCCCAGGUGCACUUCGGGAGAUCUUCCUGCAGGGUCUAGAGGGAGGACCUCUCAUUCAGCAAGAAGUGAGCCCAGGCCCCGCAGCCUCUCCCUGAGAACUUGGCAAGGUCCACAUGGGCUGGGCGGUGGGGAGGCUGGGAUUCUCUCCAAGAUCACCCAGAUUUCUUUGCAUAAUGUUAGGUGGUGAUGGAGUAGGGUCCUGAAAACCAGGGGUGCUGAUGGCUUCAUCCAUACAAUGGGUCAAAUUGUCCCCCGGCACCCCCAGAUCUGUCUACGUCCUCAUCUUCAGAACCUGUGAAUGUGAUUUUCUGUGGAGAAGGAUCUUUGCAGAUGUAAUUACAUUAAGGGUCUUGAGACAAGGAGAUCAUCCUGGAUUAGCCAGGGGAGCAAAAAUCCAAUGAAAUGUAUCCUUGUAGGAAAGCAGAGGGAGAUUUGAGAAUACAGAGAAGAGAAGACACAGGAGUGGGGGCCAUGUGACCAGGGAGGCAGAGCUCGGAGUCGUGUGGGCUCAGAUUCUCCCCUAGAGGCCUGCGGGGAGCAUGGCCUUGCCAGAUUUCCAGCUUCCAGCCUGCAGGAUGCUGAGACAGUAAAUCCUCACCGUUUUAAGCCACCAAGUUUGUGGUGAUCUGUUACAGCAGCUUCAGUAAACACAUACAACCUGCAUAACUGGGUGCCUG